UCUUUUCCUUUGUCGUCUUAUCAAGACAUAUGAUAGGUCUGCAGCAUAGUUGUGACUACAUAGUAGAAUUUUCUCCAGAAGAGAUUAAUUCAGUCAUUCCUCACUUUAUGCAUUCUCUUUCAACAGAAGUAAACAUAAGAGCUGCCAAAGUUGAAAGGAAUGGACAUAUGAAGGUUAAAAUCAGGUAGUCCAAAUUUUGGUGCCUGCAAUUUAGGCGUGUACUAUGAAGGCUCUGUCUACCACUUGGAACCUGUAUAGGCUUCUAAUGAUAUGGAAGAGUAGUUGGAGAUAGUCCUUACUAGGGAAAAAGGAUACCCCUAACACUAGUCAGCAUUUAAUAUGGCAACCUAGAAAGCUCCUUGAGUCAUUUGCUUUUUAACUUUGUUUACCUCCACAGUAAAUGUCAAGUAGAUU
This is a long non-coding RNA of Perognathus longimembris pacificus (Pacific pocket mouse), 414 nucleotides long. RefSeq lists it as uncharacterized. Lineage: Eukaryota; Metazoa; Chordata; Mammalia; Rodentia; Heteromyidae. The record is from RefSeq and is a predicted model, not a curated record. The transcript has 2 exons.